CAGUCUCCUGUACCUCUCUAUGAAGCCGGGGUCGAUCAAGGAGGGAGCGCGGUCCCGGGGUAGAGGGACUGGGGCCGGCUGAGGGUGAACUGGGGGACCCUGUGGUGGCGCCUGCUGAUAUGGUGGGGGCACUGGAAUGUGCUGUGGCGGCACCUGUUGGUACUGUGGCCGUGGUACCGGAUCGUACCGCGCCUGUGGUGCCGGGUGGUAUCGUGGAGGAACAGGCUCCUGUCGGGGUGGCUCGGGAUCAGCCUGCUGUAGCGGGGGCUCAACCUGCGCUAGCGGAGGAGGUCCCGGUAACUCCCUUCUCUCCUCUUGCCUUCGCUGGGCAGCUGCGAGAGCCUCCACCAUCUC
RNAcentral lists this long non-coding RNA (354 nucleotides) under Carica papaya (papaya). RNAcentral describes it as "long non-coding RNA (CPAP_LNC009527)". Lineage: Eukaryota; Viridiplantae; Streptophyta; Magnoliopsida; Brassicales; Caricaceae. The record is from RNAcentral.